ACUCGUCCGGAACGCCCGCGAACAAACGCCUUCGGAUUCCUCCGUCGACGUCGUACUUGGGGAAUCGUUCAAUAAAUUUUGGACGAGUGAAUGCCAGCCCACACCGUCCUCUUCUUGUUCCUCUUUUGGAAUCGGUUUAUCUCCUCGAUCGCUUCUCUCCAACCCCAUACAGCGCCUAUAGGGUUCGCAGUCUUAUCGGGAUCCAGCAUUAGAGCGUUUGCAGGCGCCACUUUUCUCGCUUCAGGAUCGCCAGUCUCCACAGUUCUAGGGCUUCCAGACCGCGUGAUCGUGGAAAAUGAAGGAUACUGACUCGGAUCUCAGAGCUCUGCUCUGAUAGAUACUGACUCCAAACACCGGGCACAUAGGAAGGAUGGUGACAAUUUUGUUCUUUUUUUUUUUUUUUUGUGGAAUGCAUAUAACAUAAUAACCUAGGUGAUCCCCCAAAAGUUAGAUUGUGGGGUGAUGGAAGGUUUAGAAAUUUUGUUUGGUAGAGAAGGUAUUGGGCACUUUGAAAUGUUAAUUUUUUAAAAAAAUUUCUGAAGAGGUUCAAUAGACGUAUUGAUGUUAACCUCUAAAGCUAGAGAUCCACAACCCAUUAACAGGAACUUCUAAUACAAUUUUUAGUAGUAAUAAUGAUAGUGAUACUAAUAAUAACUUUUCAUAAUAUCAUCAUUUGUUUUAUAUAAAUUUGCAUCAGUGCAUAUGUAUGCAAUAUCAAAAUAAUGAGCCAAUUAGAAUACACGCAUAUGGAUAUCAAGCGAUUUACAAGUUUAAUAAUCUUUUUGUUUUAGUACUUCCAAACCAGUAUAUUUGUAAUUUCUAGCAUCUAAAUUAUUCGUAUAUGAAAUUUGAUUAGGUUUUCGAGAUUCUAGCCAUACCAUUCUAAAGUCAACAUCCUAAAGUAUCCUCGUUUGAAAUCCUAAUUUUCAAAACUUGAAUCAACUCACUAUCUUCCUUAGAUAUAAGGUAGAUAGCGUUUCUGAGAUUUAGACCAUUAUCACAUACAAUGUGUAAACUUUAGAAUGGCAACACUGGUAGGGAUGCAUUCUGAUUUCUGCAUACAAAAUUUGCACGACACAAUCUAUUAAUCAAUCAUAAAUCAAAUCUUGGCCCUCGGUAAGAGGAACCUGAAGAAAUAUAUUUUGUUAAUGUUAUUCAUAGUAGCAACCUAGUUAUAGCAAUUAAAUGGAGCAACUCUUCACAUUCUCAAUCAUAAUGUGAACCCACAUCACUAACUCCAUGAUCAACUCAAGAAGAUUAUUGCAUUGCACAAGACCAAGUCAAGAAUGUUCACCAAAUAUGCAUAUGCAUAUGAUGCUCUAACAAAUUCCUAAACCUAAGCUCUGAUAUCAUGUUGUCACGCCCCAUACAAGCUAGGCUUGCCAUGAUGCUAGCUUCACUCUCCAUGCUUGAACUAUAACAAAAUACAGAGAGAAACUAACUAAACAACAUGCAAGUAACUUCACUAAUGUUAUGUAUAUAUUUCAACAAUUAACCUGAAGGUCAAAGGGAAAGGAGAGUGAGCACAAAGUGGAAAUAAGAGAUAUGCAUGAAAACAUAAUCAACGAAAGCAACAACAUAAUUUACAAAUUAUAUUUCCAUAUCAUUUGUCUUUUAUUCUCUUCUUAAUUCAUUUCAUCAGUUUUCUUUAAUUUCUUAUUUUCCAACAUUAUCCACAUUAUAGUCUUAUUUAUCCGACAAUUCAAUAUAGUUUAUUAAUCACACAUAUAAUAUAUUCAUCAAGGAUGUGUCGUAUAAGUAAAGGUGAAAUGACUUGCAAUCCAACUAAUACGAAUGCAUCGUGUAUAAAUUAAAAUAUCAAGGUGUGCGACUUGUAAUCCACUCGAGAAAGAUGCAUCGUAUGGGAGCAUGAAUGACCUGCAAUCCACUCGUAACGAAAAUGAUCAUAUGUAUGCAUCUAUACAUACAUAGGUCAGGUGAACGACCUGCAAUCCACCAAAAGGGAUGUAUCGUAUGUACAUGGGAUGAACGAUCCGCAAUCCACCUAAUACAAAAUACAUCAUGUGAAUGCACAUAUACAAACACAUAUAUAUAGGGUGAACGACCUACAACCCACCCGAAAGUAGGAGUGUAAACGAGCCAAACUGCUCGUGAGCUAUUCAGGUCUCGGUUCGAAAAAAAGUUCGUUCGAUCAAGUUAACGAGCCGAGCUCGAGUCUGAUUUCGAGCUCAAAAAUAUUAUCGAGCCGAGAUCGAGUUUAAUAGUAUUUAAUUCGUGAGCUCGUAAAUAUGUUUGUUUAGAGGCUCGCGAACAUGUUCGUUAAGAAACUCGUUUAUAUAUAUAUAUAAUUUAUUAUUAAUUAUUAUAGCUAAUUAUCUUAAACGAGCUUUUUUUCGAGUCUAGCUCGAGCCGAGUUCGAGCUAUUUAAUUUUAUUACGAGCUGAGCUCGAUCUUAAGAACUAAAGCUCGAAUUGAACUCGAGCUGAGCUCGAGCUUAGGGAUAACGAACCGAGCCCGAGCUCGAACCUCUUACUGUUCAGCUCAGCUCCUCUUACUGUUCAGCUCAGCUCGUUUACCACCCUACCCGAAAGUGGAUCUCAUAAAAAUUGGAUGAAUGACCUGCAAGUCAUCUCGUGAGAUGCCUCACAUAAGAAUAGAGUGAACAGUCCACAAUCGACCCAAUGAGGAAAAUCAACUCAAUUUGGUAGAAGCCUAGGAACGCGUGAAAAGACUUAAGAGUCCUCUUUGUGCAUGGAGUCUACUGCUCUAUACUACAAGUAAUCACACAACUCUUUGUGCAUGGAGCCGAAAUUCUAUAAUGUAAAGGCUACAUUUAUUAUCUUGACAAUUUAAUGUCAAUGAUAAUGUGCCUCUUUCAAGGGCAUAUAGUCCAAAACUCUAAAUAUAAUUAUUGCAUCUAUUAUUUUAUUAAUUAAUAUCAGUGCUAGAGUAAUUUCUAAAACACGGAGCUAAACUAUUGAUAUAAUUAGUUUCUUACUUUAUUAGUUAGCAUAAUUAAUUAGGUAAUCUAUUUUUUUUUGGAUCUCAAAUAAAAAACAAACAAGAUAGGAAUCAACUAAAGAAUAAAAGGGCAAGACGUGAUAGGAAAAAUCAAGUGGUGAGAGUAAGGAUAACAGUAGAAUGAAUUCUAUUUUUCACAUUAUCAACUUUCAUAAAUUAAAUCAUGCACAAGGUAAAUGUAGUGAGACACCAUCCUGUUCUUGUUCCUCUCUUGGAAUCGGUUUCUUGCAAAAGGAAUGCUUUAAUACGCACCUGACCCCGGUGUGUUUCUUUCCAUUUCUGGAUCCAUGUAAUGUGGUAUGAUUGUCUCCUCGCUUCUGUCGCCCAGCCCAUACAACGCUCGUCGUGCUUUUGUCAGGUUUGCAGUCUUAUCGUGAUCCAUGAACAUCUAAUAUUUGCAGCAUUGGAGCGUUUGCAGGCACCAGUUCGCUAGCUUUUCGAAACCUGCCUGGUUUUCUCGCUUCAGGAUCUCCAGUCUCCCCAGUUCGAGGGAUCUAGUUAGUAAUCCCAUCUACCACGACCAGCUUCUGGCUGUCGAUUGACAGGGCUGAGGCAGAUCGUCGCGAUUCCAAGUGGCCUAACCCUUACGAUCCAAGAACAAUCCUUGUCAGCAAGCUUUCUUAUGGAGUGAGAUGCCCCAACUUGCUAGAAGAAUUGAGGAUGAGUUUACCAUGUUUAUACUUACCCAUGGAACUACGAGAAGAAAGAAGAGAAAAAUAUUUUGCUCUUUUUGCGUGCAAGUUGGCAUGGGAGGUGUUGGAAAAAUAUUAUUCAAUAAGUAAAAUAUAUCUCCUCAUAUAUAUUUAGUUGGAGAAAAAUAAUUUUUCCUACCUUGAUCCGGGAAACUAAAACAUUUUUCUCAUUUCUCUAAACCUUUUUUAUGUCUUUUUAAUGUAUGAAUUGAUUUGUUGUUUUAAGACAGUGGAGACUAAUCUGCAAGCGGGAGCAAAUCAUAGAUAAGAGCUUUUGUGGGUGAUAUUAAUUGGCAUAAUCUUUGCACUCAUUAUCCAGUUAUUGUCGGCCUAUCUGGGGUGACUACAGCAUGCUUGCGGAUAUUUCUUGCUCGAGAGUGACUUUGCAUUGUUCGUGGCGUUGCUCAUCAACAUCACAGUGGUCAGUCUCUGGAUCUGUGUGUGCUUCCACUGAUCUCUCUGCUGAAGACUCCAAUAGAUGCAACGAUUUGACCUUGAACUCUGCGUCUUUAUUGCUCAAGAAUGUGCUGGGCAAAUCAAGCUCCAUCAUUUAUGGAAUCUCUUUAUUGGCCUCUAGCCAAAGCUCUACAAUCACAGGCACGUACACUGGCUAAUAUAUCAUGCAGGGUUUUCUAGACAUCAAAAUGAGAAUAUGGUUGCGAAACUUUGUGACUCGAUGCAUCGCAAUCUGUCCCAGCCUUUUUGUAGCCAUUAUCGAAGGAACAGCAGGAUCAGGGAGGCUUAUAAUCAUAGCAUCGAUGAUCCUCUCCUUCGAGUUGUCCUUCGUCCUCGUCCCUCUCCUCAAGUUCAGCAGCAGCACCACCAAGAUGGGGCAUCACAAGAAUUCUAUCUACAUAAUUGUGUCUCAUGGGUCCUUGGCUUGGGUGUGAUUGGGAUCAACAUCUACUACUUUAGCACGAGCUUUGUGACUUGGAUAAUCCACAGCAGCUUCCCGAAGCCUGUGAUGGUCUUGAUUGGGGUCAUGGUCUUUCCUGUGAUGGCCUUUUAUGUGAUCUCUUUGAUCUACUUGAUGUUCAAGAAGGACAGGAUGACUAGAAGUUGGAGGUUUCGAUGGAGCAGGGAGGGGCAAGGAGUCAGAGACGGAUGCAGGUAGAGGCUAUCCUGAGCUAUAUAGCCUAUUCCAAAUUUUUUACUUACAUUGUUGUGCAUUAUUGGCAGCAGAAUGAGAACCAUGAACAAAUUGCUUGCUCCAUCUUUUCUUCUUUAUUUUAUUAAUAUCGUUCCCUUCAUAGAUUGACCAACUGGUUUGAUUAGAUAGGAUUGGCUCUGCCUCCUCAAAAUGAGAUCAGAAAGCUUGUGCUGUUGAUAUCAGUUCUAGUGUUUUUGAUGACCACAAGAUAAUUCGGGGAGGUGAGCUAUAUGAAGCCCCCUGCAGUAGAGGUGAUGAAGGCCUGUUUGUCCCAAGAAUGCAGGGCAAUAUUGCCACCGGAGACGUCAUUUCCCUCCUGGGCACUUGUCAUACUGCACAACUUAUUUCUGCAUUCAGCACUGGUGCUCUCAAGGAAGACAUCACCUUCGUGGUCAACGUUCUUGCUAGAGCGUGGCUUCGCAUCGUUCGUGGCGUUGCUCAUCAACAUCGCAGUGGCCUCAGUCUCCGGAACCUUGUGCGCUACUACUGAUCUCUCUGCUGAAGAGUCCGAUAGAUGCAGCGAUUUGACCCUGAACUCUGCAUCUUUCUUACUCAAGAAUGUGCUGGGCAAAUCAAGCUCCAUCAUCCAUGGAAUCUCUUUAUUGGCCUCCGGCCAAAGCUCUUCAAUCUCAGGCACAAACGCUAAUCAAUAGAUUAUGCAGAUGAUCCUCUCCUUCAAGCUGCCCCUCGCCCUGUCCCUCUCAAGUUCAGCAGCAGCACCACCAAGAUGGGGCCCUCACAAGAACUCCAUCUACAUAAUUGUGGUCUCAUGGGUCCUCGGCUUGGGCGUGAUUGGGAUCAACUUCUACCACGAGCUUUGUCACUUGGAUAAUCCACAUCAGCUUCCUGAAGCCUGUGACGGUCUUGAUUGGGGUCGUGGUCUAAUUUCCUGGAAAACCUGGGGAUGUUUUGGGCAGUGCCUGCCAUACUGCAAUGGUCUCAUCUGUAUCUUUCGCCUCCAUCAUAUCUUUUGCCUAAAAGUAGGGAUUUUUUGUUUUUGUUGUUCGUCCAUUUAUUUAUUUAUAUUGACCAAUUUGUUACAGCGUACAUGUUUGUUCCUAUAUACUGUCUCAUCUGUUCCUUUUGCUCCUGAAUAAGUUAUUGUUUGUUUUUUUUUUUUU
RNA transcript from Zingiber officinale, 5945 nucleotides. It is a transcript of the gene named metal transporter Nramp5-like, with no coding region annotated. The record is from RefSeq and is a predicted model, not a curated record. The transcript is spliced from 15 exons. Lineage: Eukaryota; Viridiplantae; Streptophyta; Magnoliopsida; Zingiberales; Zingiberaceae.